This 72-nucleotide transfer RNA is filed under the name Candidatus Falkowiibacteriota bacterium. Its description in RNAcentral is "tRNA-Arg". It matches the Rfam family "tRNA". From Rfam's summary of the family: Transfer RNA (tRNA) molecules are approximately 80 nucleotides in length. Lineage: Bacteria; Candidatus Falkowiibacteriota. The record is from RNAcentral.
GCCCCCGUAGCUCAAAGGAUAGAGUACUGGUCUUCGGAACCAGUGAUCCAGGUUCGAAUCCUGGCGAGGGCA